RNAcentral lists this ribosomal RNA (440 nucleotides) under uncultured bacterium. RNAcentral describes it as "partial 16S ribosomal RNA". It matches the Rfam family "Bacterial small subunit ribosomal RNA", at positions 338 to 795 of the family's 1533-position model. The record is from RNAcentral.
CCUACGGGGGGCAGCAGUGAGGGAUAUUGGUCAAUGGGGGAAACCCUGAACCAGCAACGCCGCGUGAGGGAAGACGGUUUUCGGAUUGUAAACCUCUGUCCUUUGUGAAGAUAAUGACGGUAGGAGAGGAGGAAGCUCCGGCUAACUACGUGCCAGCAGCCGCGGUAAUAUGUAGGGUGCAAGCGUUGUCCGGAUUUACUGGGUGUAAAGUGUGCGUAGGCGGGUUUUCAAGUCAGAAGUGAAAUGCAUGGGCUUAACCCAUGAAAUGCUUUUGAAACUGCAGAGCUUGAGGGGGGGAGAGGGAGGCGGAAUUCGCGGUGUAGCGGUGAAAUGCGUAGAGAUCGGGAAGAACACCAGUGGCGAAGGCGGCCUGCUGGGCUCUAACUGACGCUGAGGCACGAAAGCGUGGGUAGCAAACAGGAUUAGAUACCCGAGUAGUC